CCUACGGGAGGCACCAGUGAGGAAUAUUGGUCAAUGGACGAGAGUCUGAACCAGCCAAGUAGCGUGAAGGAUGACUGCCCUAUGGGUUGUAAACUUCUUUUAUAUGGGAAUAAAAUGUUCCACGUGUGGGAUUUUGUAUGUACCAUAUGAAUAAGGAUCGGCUAACUCCGUGCCAGCAGCCGCGGUAAUACGGAGGAUCCGAGCGUUAUCCGGAUUUAUUGGGUUUAAAGGGAGCGUAGGUGGAUUGUUAAGUCAGUUGUGAAAGUUUGCGGCUCAACCGUAAAAUUGCAGUUGAAACUGGCAGUCUUGAGUACAGUAGAGGUGGGCGGAAUUCGUGGUGUAGCGGUGAAAUGCUUAGAUAUCACGAAGAACUCCGAUUGCGAAGGCAGUUCACUGGACUGCAACUGACACUGAGGCUCGAAAGUGUGGGUAUCAAACAGGAUUAGAUACCCGAGUAGUC
This 460-nucleotide ribosomal RNA is filed under the name uncultured bacterium. RNAcentral's name for it is "partial 16S ribosomal RNA". It matches the Rfam family "Bacterial small subunit ribosomal RNA", at positions 338 to 795 of the family's 1533-position model. The record is from RNAcentral.